GACGAACGCUGGCGGCGCGCUUAACACAUGCAAGUCGAGCGAAGCGGCGGACUGGUGAGUAACCCGUGAGUAACCUGCCUUAGACAUUGGGAUAGCCUCGGUAACCCUGGAUUAAUACCAAAUGGUCUCAGAUGGACUCGCGUCCCAUUAGCUAGUUGGUGAGGUAACGGCCCACCAAGGCGCCGAUGGGUAGCCGGACAGAGAGGGUGAACGGCAACAUUGGAAAUGAGAAACGGUCCAAACUCUACGGGAGGCAGCAGUGGGGAAUAUUGCACAAUGGAGGGAACUAUGAUGCAGGGACGCCGCGUGAACGAAGAAGGCUGUCGAGACGGAAAGUUCUUUUAUAUGGGAAGCGGUACCAGAAGAAAAAGCCCCGGCUAACUACGUGCCAGCAGCCGCGGUAAUUC
This 407-nucleotide ribosomal RNA is filed under the name uncultured bacterium. Its description in RNAcentral is "partial 16S ribosomal RNA". It matches the Rfam family "Bacterial small subunit ribosomal RNA", at positions 28 to 526 of the family's 1533-position model. The record is from RNAcentral.